AGUGAACGCUGGCGGUAGGCCUAACACAUGCAAGUCGAACGGCAGCACAGUAAGAGCUUGCUCUUACGGGUGGCGAGUGGCGGACGGGUGAGGAAUACAUCGGAAUCUACUUUUUCGUGGGGGAUAACGUAGGGAAACUUACGCUAAUACCGCAUACGACCUACGGGUGAAAGCAGUGGAUCUUCGGACCUUGCGCGAUUGAAUGAGCCGAUGUCGGAUUAGCUAGUUGGCGGGGUAAAGGCCCACCAAGGCGACGAUCCGUAGCUGAUCUGAGAGGAUAAUCAGCCACACUGGAACUGAGACACGGUCCAGACUCCUACGGGAGGCAGCAGUGGGGAAUCUUGGACAAUGGGCGCAAGCCUGAUCCAGCCAUACCGCGUGGGUGAAGAAGGCCUUCGGGUUGUAAAGCCCUUUUGUUGGGAAAGAAAAGCAGCAGGUUAAUACCCCGCUGUUCUGACGGUACCCAAAGAAUAAGCACCGGCUAACUUCGUG
RNAcentral lists this ribosomal RNA (492 nucleotides) under uncultured bacterium. RNAcentral describes it as "partial 16S ribosomal RNA". It matches the Rfam family "Bacterial small subunit ribosomal RNA", at positions 29 to 507 of the family's 1533-position model. The record is from RNAcentral.